AGCGAACGCUGGCGGUAGGCCUAACACGUGCAAGUCGAACGGCAGCACAGUAAGAGCUUGCUCUUACGGGUGGCGAGUGGCGGACGGGUGAGGAAUACAUCGGAAUCUACUUUUUCGUGGGGGAUAACGUAGGGAAACUUACGCUAAUACCGCAUACGACCUACGGGUGAAAGCAGGGGAUCUUCGGACCUUGCGCGAUUGAAUGAGCCGAUGUCGGAUUAGCUAGUUGGCGGGGUAAAGGCCCACCAAGGCGACGAUCCGUAGCUGGUCUGAGAGGAUGAUCAGCCACACUGGAACUGAGACACGGUCCAGACUCCUACGGGAGGCAGCAGUGGGGAAUAUUGGACAAUGGGCGCAAGCCUGAUCCAGCCAUACCGCGUGGGUGAAGAAGGCCUUCGGGUUGUAAAGCCCUUUUGUUGGGAAAGAAAAGCAGCAGGUUAAUACCCCGCUGUUCUGACGGUACCCAAAGAAUAAGCACCGGCUAACUUCGUG
This 492-nucleotide ribosomal RNA is filed under the name uncultured bacterium. RNAcentral's name for it is "partial 16S ribosomal RNA". It matches the Rfam family "Bacterial small subunit ribosomal RNA", at positions 29 to 507 of the family's 1533-position model. The record is from RNAcentral.